GACGAACGCUGGCGGCGUGCCUAACACAUGCAAGUCGAACGGAACUGUUUUGAAAGAUUUCUUCGGAAUGAAUUUGAUUUAGUUUAGUGGCGGACGGGUGAGUAACGCGUGAGUAACCUGCCUUCAAGAGGGGAAUAACAUUCUGAAAAGAAUGCUAAUACCGCAUGACAUAUCGGAACCACAUGAUUUUGAUAUCAAAGAUUUUAUCGCUUGAAGAUGGACUCGCGUCCGAUUAGUUAGUUGGUGAGGUAACGGCUCACCAAGACCGCGAUCGGUAGCCGGACUGAGAGGUUGAACGGCCACAUGGGGACUGAGACACGGCCCAGACUCCUACGGGAGGCAGCAGUGGGGGAUAUUGCGCAAUGGGGGCAACCCUGACGCAGCAACGCCGCGUGAAGGAUGAAGGUUUUCGGAUUGUAAACUUCUUUUAUUAAGGACGAAAAAUGACGGUACUUAAUGAAUAAGCUCCGGCUAACUACGUG
This 482-nucleotide ribosomal RNA is filed under the name uncultured bacterium. RNAcentral's name for it is "partial 16S ribosomal RNA". It matches the Rfam family "Bacterial small subunit ribosomal RNA", at positions 28 to 507 of the family's 1533-position model. The record is from RNAcentral.